This 171-nucleotide ribosomal RNA is filed under the name uncultured bacterium. RNAcentral describes it as "partial 16S ribosomal RNA". It matches the Rfam family "Bacterial small subunit ribosomal RNA", at positions 337 to 525 of the family's 1533-position model. The record is from RNAcentral.
UCCUACGGGAGGCAGCAGUGAGGAAUAUUGCGCAAUGGGCGAAAGCCUGACGCAGCAACGCCGCGUGGAGGAUGAAGGCCCUCGGGUUGUAAACCCCUUUCGGGAGGGAAGAAAUUGACGGUACCUGCAGAAAAAGCGCCGGCUAACUACGUGCCAGCAGCCGCGGUAAUA